AACGCGAAGAACCUUACCUACCUUUGAAUCCACGGAAUCUUGCAGAGAUGUGAGAGUGCCUUCGGGAACCGUGAGACAGGUGCUGCAUGGCUGUCGUCAGCUCGUGUCGUGAGAUGUUGGGUUAAGUCCCGUAACGAGCGCAACCCUUAUCCUUAGUUACCAGCGAGUAAAGUCGGGGACUUUAAGGAGACUGCCGGUGAUAAACCGGAGGAAGGUGGGGAUGACGUCAAGUCCUCAUGGCCCUUACAGGUAGGGCUACACACGUGCUACAAUGGCCGGUACAAAGGGAAGCCAACCCGCGAGGGGGAGCUAACCUCAAAAAGCCGGUCGUAGUCCGGAUUGGAGUCUGCAACUCGACUCCAUGAAGUUGGAAUCGCUAGUAAUCGUGGAUCAGCACGCCACGGUGAAUACGUUCCCGGGCCUUGUACACACCGCACGA
This 439-nucleotide ribosomal RNA is filed under the name uncultured bacterium. Its description in RNAcentral is "bacterial SSU rRNA". It matches the Rfam family "Bacterial small subunit ribosomal RNA", at positions 958 to 1397 of the family's 1533-position model. The record is from RNAcentral.